RNAcentral lists this long non-coding RNA (3181 nucleotides) under Rhinolophus ferrumequinum (greater horseshoe bat). RNAcentral's name for it is "lncRNA (ENSRFEG00010013601.1)". The record is from RNAcentral. Lineage: Eukaryota; Metazoa; Chordata; Mammalia; Chiroptera; Rhinolophidae.
CGUCCGUUCCCGAUCUAGCUCACACACACAUUUGCAUUGGCAGGUAGGGAGUCUGGAAGGGGGCAGGGAAGAAGCAAGGAGUUGCGGUACCUUUCUUGAACUUUCUGAGCUUGUUUAGAUGUGGAACUCAGCGCUCUAAGCUGCCAGACCUCGUCUUCUCCAAACCCGAAGCUUGGUGGGGAUAGCCCGGCGCACGACCCUGCUCUCAGCCAGCCCGCGCGGGAAUCUCACCGCAGCAGGCAACACGCAAAAAGGGAAGAGCCUUGGAGAGCCCGCGGGACCUGCAAGUGGACGAGCAAUCUGCCUUCCUCUGGAAGCCGAGGAUGGUAAGGAGAGCCCACGAUUGAAAUAAAGGGUCAGAGGGGGGGCGUGAAAAACCUCUGCACUAAGCCCAAGCAAAAACUGAAGUCACGGUCAAGUGUUCCCCAUAAGAGGGCGGGGCAGCUGGCUAGGAGCAGUUGGGGGCGGAGAAGGGAGGGUCCAGUUGGGGCUGGGAGGGGCCCAAGGCGGAGGCCUCAGGGGAAAACUUUAUGGCUCUUUCAGCCACCACCACCUCCCCUCCCAGAGUGGAGAAACAGCUCUGUACCUCCAUCAAGUCCCAGCUGCAGAGUGGGGGGCCGCGGGCAGUGCAGCGGGCGGGGGCGGCCACCCGGAUCGCUCACUAUUGGGCUACCACGGCAGCUCGCGAGUCAGCUGGGGUUCCCCGGAGCGCCCUGAACCCGGGGAGUACCAACCCCCAGCGAAAAGAAAAGUGAAAGAAAAUAGGCGAUGGCUUGGAGCCCACCCACCACUUUCACGGGCUGGACACGGUGCGGGAAGCUUCCCCAAUGAAGCCUGGAGACCCGAGCGCCGAGCACGUCCAAGUCGCCCAGAGGAAAGGGAAAAAUGUGUUGGAUCUCGAUGGGCGGCUACUCCAUCCGGACCAGUCCCUUGGCUCCUCGCGCCAGCUGUAAGAAACAAGGCUCUGAAGUCUUAAUAGAGAAAACAUUGGAAAAAGUCACCUGGGUAACUACUUUGUCCAAGUUGCAGCAGGCUGUUUGGUAAGAUAUGGAAAAUUACACCAAUGAACAAGUAAAUUCCACUGUACAAGUUAAAAGCAAAGACCAAGAUUGAUGAAAGCAUUUAAAUCUGCCUUAAGAUGACUAUUAAAAUGACAAUGCAGAAAGAAGUAAAAAUUAACUCACAGAAGUGACCAUAAUAUUUCUUCGAAUUUAAAGAAUUAACAAUAAAAUUAUAGUAUAAUAAAAUUUUAAUAUUUGAUAUUUCAUUCCAAAUACAAUGUUUGGCAAUUGGGCAGUUGUCUUUAAAAUAAAUUACUAAUAAAAGCUUUUGAGACUACGUGGAAGAAGUUAAAAGUUAGCUCAUCUGACUUAGUGUUCAAAGUCCAUAACUAUGAUCUUAUUUAUGGUUCUUCUAACAACAAAACAGAGGCCAACAACAAGUUGAUCUUCUAGGCUUUGAAAAACAUGGCCCAGGAUGCCACAAGUUGCCAUAUUGGUUAAAGUGUAAGUGAGCAGCCUUUUCUCAAGGUUGCUCCCCACCUCUGAUUUUUUGGUGGUCCUGACAAUAGAGGAAUAAAUACUCUUUGUCUUGAAGAUUGCUUAAGUUUUCAAGUGUUGCUUUUUCAUAGUUGUAACAGUACGAGUUAAUACUUCUGUAGUUGCUACAGUGGGUCCGCAGGUGCUUGCUACGUAUACAUAUUAUUAACUCAAUAAACCCUCAGCAAUGUUAUGACAUAUGAACUGUUAUUAUCUCCAUUUUACACAGGGAGAAACCAGGUCCAGAGAAACUACACGACGUGUCUCAGGUCACAUGCAAUUGAGUGGCCCAGCAAGGAUUUGAACGCAGGUGGUCUGACUUGAGCACACAUCAUCUACCCUCUGCUGCCACUAAAUUGACAACCACCCACCACCACUUCUAAAACAAAAAGUCCAUGAGGAAAAAAGCCAUUGCCUCUCAGCCUGUAUCUCUCAGUCUGAUUUUGUUUGCCCCAGAGUAAUUUUAGCCACCACCAGGAAGGAAACUCAUCGGUUCCUUUGAAUUUAUGUUUCCUGACCUCAUUGUGUUUCCAUAAUAAAACUGCAGUGGGUGUUACAGCCUCACUAUAAACAUAGAUUAUUUGAAUAAAGUGACUGACAAAAGGCUGGCAGAGUUAAAAACAGCAGAGCUAGUAGCUGACAGAAUCUGGCUGGUUCCUAUUCUAUUAGAGAUGGAUGAUUCUGUUUGAACUGAAGUGUAAGUGACCUCACGGGAAACCAGGUGAAAGGACACCUAGUUUCAAGCUGGAAAUAAAAACAAUUAAAUAACAAAUAUUUCCUUUUUAUUUUUAAGUUAAAUUCAUAGGGGUGACACUGGCUAAUAAAAUUACAUAGUUUCCAAAUGUACAAUUUUAUAAUAGGAGGUUUGACAAACAAUCCCGAACUCAUCCUAGAAAAAGUGCUACAUACCUCAUUGCUGAAUAUCACUACAGUCAACUUCAAAGUACUCCCCUUGGGAAGUUAGGCACCGACACGAGCGCCUAGUCCACCCUUCGAAGCAAUUUUAGAACUCUUUCUGGAAUGGCCAUCAGAACUAUUGUAUUACCCUUGAUGUCCUGAAUGUCGUCAAAAUGUCUUUCUUUCAAUAUUUCCUCUAUCUUCAGGUAAAAAAAGAAGUCAUUGGGGACCAGAUCAGGUGAGUAGGGAGGGUUUUCCCAUACAGUUAUUUGUUUACCGGCUAAAAACUCCCUCACAGACAGUGCCGUGUGAGCUGGUGCAUUGUCGUGAUGCAAGAGCCAUGAAUUGUGGUGAAAAGUCCAGGUCAUCUAACUUUUUCACGCAGCGUUUUUAGCACUUACAAAUAGUAAACUUGGUUAACUGUUUGUCCAGUUGGUACAAAUCCAUAAUGAAUAAUCCCUCUGAUAUCAAAAAAGGUUAGCAACAUCGUUGCAACAAGUUUGCAAACUUAAUUGUCAGACCUUGUACAUCAUCUGUAUUGCAUUGUGUGUUCGUAACCCAAAGUCAAAUCUCCUUCCAUCACCUAUUUGUUAAUAUAUUUAAAAGUAUAUGGAAUCUUAAAUGUUUUUGUGACAUAGUAGGGGGAGAAAGGGUUAAAUAAAACCAAGAGAUGAUGUAAUGUACUAACAAUACUAUUCUGAACAGUCUUUUAUGGCUGAACUUACCGAUCAAAAUCUAGUUCUAAU